GGGGAAGGGUAGCUUGCUACCUAACCUAGCGGCGGACGGGUGAGUAAUGCUUAGGGAUCUGCCUAUUAGUGGGGGACAACAUUCCGAAAGGAAUGCUAAUACCGCAUACGCCCUACGGGGGAAAGCAGGGGAUCUUCGGACCUUGCGCUAAUAGAUGAGCCCAAGUCAGAUUAGCUAGUUGGUGGGGUAAAGGCCUACCAAGGCGACGAUCUGUAGCGGGUCUGAGAGGAUGAUCCGCCACACUGGGACUGAGACACGGCCCAGACUCCUACGGGAGGCAGCAGUGGGGAAUAUUGGACAAUGGGCGCAAGCCUGAUCCAGCCAUGCCGCGUGUGUGAAGAAGGCCUUUUGGUUGUAAAGCACUUUAAGCGAGGAGGAGGCUACCGAGAUUAAUACUCUAGGAUAGUGGACGUUACUCGCAGAAUAAGCACCGGCUAACUCUGUGCCAGCAGCCGCGGUAAUACAGAGGGUGCGAGCGUUAAUCGGAUUUACUGGGCGUAAAGCGUGCGUAGGCGGCUUUUUAAGUCGGAUGUGAAAUCCCUGAGCUUAACUUAGGAAUUGCAUUCGAUACUGGGAAGCUAGAGUAUGGGAGAGGAUGGUAGAAUUCCAGGUGUAGCGGUGAAAUGCGUAGAGAUCUGGAGGAAUACCGAUGGCGAAGGCAGCCAUCUGGCCUAAUACUGACGCUGAGGUACGAAAGCAUGGGGAGCAAACAGGAUUAGAUACCCUGGUAGUCC
This 734-nucleotide ribosomal RNA is filed under the name uncultured bacterium. RNAcentral's name for it is "bacterial SSU rRNA". It matches the Rfam family "Bacterial small subunit ribosomal RNA", at positions 68 to 796 of the family's 1533-position model. The record is from RNAcentral.